Molecule: long non-coding RNA, 843 nt
Organism: Gadus macrocephalus (Pacific cod)
Lineage: Eukaryota; Metazoa; Chordata; Actinopteri; Gadiformes; Gadidae
Exons: 2
Source: RefSeq, a predicted model, not a curated record
CAAAAACAAACUGGCUUAUGCUGUAUUGUGAGGAGAGAAUGUCCUUACAACGGAUUGACGGUGCAGCUUAGCCGCACAGCCCACCUGGUAGAUACUGUUGGGGUUGCUGACGGUCGGGAUCGUCUUCUGCUCUGGUCGGGAGAGGGGGGCGGACGCAGGGAGAUGGAGGGACACCGAUGGGUUGCUGCUGCUGCAGCUGCUGCUGCUCCGGCUGGUGUCUCCGCACGAGACGUCUUCCUCGUCGUCCGAGGAGGCCCCCGAGGGGACGUCCAGGCUGGCCCGCUCCACCGCACGCUGGAUGCGGUGAGAGAACUCCCGGUCACUGCGGUUGUCGCCACUCAGCAGCGAUACGCAGAACGGAGCCGUGUUCUCGCCAUAUCUUCGAGAGACGGAGCACAUCGUUACUUUCCAUCAGACCGGGGCCAAAUUAGCUAGACAACUAUUAAGACACUGCAUCACAUCAUUAUUUUCCUGCAAAGAGAUUUCAGAGGCACAUCCCUAACGAGAAGGUAAGGGGUAAGCAACUUCGACGCCUAGAUGUAGUCCGAUGACAUUUCUAGGUUUCGAAUAAGGAACCGUUUGGCUGAGAGUGGCAAUAUGGAUACCGCAAGGACUCCAGUGCCCCUGAUAGAGAUAACGCAACAGGGCUUGGCAAUUGUGAGGUCACAUCUGAAUGGGCACCGCAAUGUGGGAAGCAUAGGAAUGUCAUUUAGGUAGUAAUGGGGUUUUGGUCAUCGUCUAGUGAUCAUUGGGGCAUUGUAGGUUAAAGUGUUCAAUCCGCCACUGCGUUUCUCGUAUAAAAAAAAAGAGGUUAAAACAAUGCUUUGAUUGGCCUAGGUUAAA